UCCCGGGAAGCCCAAGCCCGCGCCGUCCGGCUCCCUCCAGUGGGCGCCCGCAGGACCCAGAAUCGAAGCGACCCUUUGCCCCGGGUUCCCAGGAGGCAUCGAAAUUGAGCUCGUCCACACAGCCCCCUGACUGCGUGGUACCUUUUCUGACUUAAAACAUUCCUUGCACCUUUAUUUACACGAUCGAAGUUGCAGUGUGCCUAGAAUUUCCUCCAAGGACAAAAAUGUGAAUAAAGCAAUAUUUUAGCCAAACAUUUCUGUGUCAAUUAAGAAAAUGGCAAUUCGUUCCAGACUAUAAAUUCUCUUUAACAACUCCCUAAGGUGUUCUUUAAAAUUGUUUUCAACGUUGCUAAAUGUGCAUCAUAAUGUGUGGGAGACUUGUAUAAGGUGGAUCAAUUUAUAGUCGGCUGGUUAAUUGAUCCAAUGUUACCACCUUCACCGAGGCGCCUUUCCAAUUGUUUUCUCGUUUUUUUUCCCCAGCACAUGUUAUUUGUUAGUGAGGAAGCUGCGUGCACGUGGCAUUGCAUAAAGUUUAUUAGACAGACCUGGCCUUUAAACUAGGAAAAGCUUAGUCUAGUCCUAAAUCUAAAAUUCAACAUUUCAGUAAGUUGUGGAACAAGAUACACAGGUUACUUUGAUGAAAUAGAAUUGAACAUAAUUUUUUUAAAAAAUGUUAAUCACAGGAAUAUUUUUUGAAGGCAUCCAGCAUCUGCAGUUAGCAGUACUGAUUUUCCCCCCCCCAACAAAGGAACACUACAUCAACACUCUUGGCGGGGAUCUGGACACAGAAGACUCAUUUCAAGAAAAUAUAAUCAUCUCUCAAAGGCUGUAAUUUAUAUGCAUUUUUAACUCACUAGGUAUUGAAAACCACCCGCGUCCCACAAUAGGGGGGUCAAAUAUAAUCAGUUGCUCAGUGUAAUAAUAUCCAUCCUUUAAAAAUGUUACUGGAAAAUGUCUUCUGAUCUGUAUGUCCAAAGAAUCCUCUCCCACUAUUUCUUUGUCCCUGCUGUUCCCCCAUACCCAGGCUUCUUUGUUCCAAUUGGCAUGUAAACCCAUUUUUCCCGCCAAAUGAGUCAGUCAUGAUGGGAACAUCAAUUGAUUUGAACAGAUGUGUGUCAAUGUUACUUGGAAAACUAGAUGCCAAUAACCAGGGCCUCAAAAAAAGGCAGUGGUUGCAACUAUAAAAUUUUAUGUGUGCACACAGACAAGGACUAGAGUGGAACCCCGAACAGGAAAACAGUUGGAUAUACUCCAGUGCUGGGAGAUUGAAUGAUUGUACGCUGCUCUUGAUUUCCGUUAAUAUGGGCAACUGCCCAAUUAAAAAAAAAA
This is a long non-coding RNA of Galeopterus variegatus (Sunda flying lemur), 1329 nucleotides long. RefSeq lists it as uncharacterized. NCBI's taxonomy places the organism in Eukaryota, Metazoa, Chordata, Mammalia, Dermoptera, Cynocephalidae. The record is from RefSeq and is a predicted model, not a curated record. The transcript is spliced from 2 exons.